Molecule: non-coding RNA, 1102 nt
Organism: Drosophila melanogaster (fruit fly)
Lineage: Eukaryota; Metazoa; Arthropoda; Insecta; Diptera; Drosophilidae
Source: Ensembl
AAACAAACGCUUAAAUAUAGAGACAAAGCUGCAUUUUGGUCGUUUUGUUGUACGCUUUUCCGUCUUUCUUUUUUUUAUGGAAGGUAUGGGAUGGCCUGGAAGAGCAACAGACACCGCGGCGACUGCCAUUCUUUCUGCUGAAAUCAGGGAUUUUCAUUGUGAACUAAAACUGUGAUAAUUUUGGAUUGGUACAUUUACGACCGUAAACUAGAAGUGGAGCGGAUGCGAUUCUGUGUCGUCAAGUGGCCCCGAUGCUUAGAUCGAUUCAGAAUCUCCAGUGCUAAUCGACAAAGACUCAGCGUUCAAGUGGUCGCCGAUGCAGCAUUUCGGAUGUUUGUUGAUACUAUGUUUUAGCGUUUAAGUGGGCCGCAACAAUGUACUUGGUGAUAUAUAGUUACUGGUACCGUAGCAGGUGUAGCUAUAGUGGGUGUGAAGGUGGCAUGUGGUGUAGUCUCUGGUGUGAAAAUUGUUGUGUUCUUUGGGAAACAUGCGACGACAAAUACUACUAUCAGUAGUAUAUCGAGCAUCGUGUAAGUCCUUGUUGUUUGGAUCGUGGUUUCCCACUGUAAUUUGUUGAUCUGCAUUUUUGUUUCCAUAUCCUCCAUCCUCAGCUGUUGUAUUCCCAACUGGUGGGUUGUCCUGUUUCUCUUAAUCGUCUCUACCCGAGGUAUGUCCAACAUCAAUUCUUCUGUGCCAAGCCUCUCCACCGCUUCGUAUUGUACGUUGUACACCAUCGCCUUGCAAUGGGUGAAUGUUUUGUCGACUCCGAAAUCCGUCUGCAGUUUGACAUUCCUUCCAUUGAAAUUUGCGAUGUAGCCGGGCUCCGGUUCAAAGACCGUUGCGACCAAUCCGACGUCCUUCGCCUCGCCUUCGCCUUCAAAUUUGGGCGGUAACAAAAAUAGCACUGUAGUAGUUUGCUAAAACUAAAUAAAAAAAAGAAUUCAACAAAUGGAUUAUAUCUGAAGAGCUGUUGGCAAUGACAGCUGCGCAUCGUCUUGGCAUGGAAUCCAAGUCCUGGCACCGUUUUUGAGGAAUUUUGCUCCAUGAAUCCUUGACCACACCCCAAAGUUCCUCGUUAUUAUUGGGUUUGGCUUUAGAAACC